UAGGGAAUCUUCGGCAAUGGACGAAAGUCUGACCGAGCAACGCCGCGUGAGUGAAGAAGGUUUUCGGAUCGUAAAACUCUGUUGUUAGAGAAGAACAAGGACGUUAGUAACUGAACGUCCCCUGACGGUAUCUAACCAGAAAGCCACGGCUAACUACGUGCCAGCAGCCGCGGUAAUACGUAGGUGGCAAGCGUUGUCCGGCUUUAUUGGGCGUAAAGCGAGCGCAGGCGGUUUCUUAAGUCUGAUGUGAAAGCCCCCGGCUCAACCGGGGAGGGUCAUUGGAAGCUGGGAGACUUGAGUGCAGAAGAGGAGAGUGGAAUUCCAUGUGUAGCGGUGAAAUGCGUAGAUAUAUGGAGGAACACCAGUGGCGAAGGCGGCUCUCUGGUCUGUAACUGACGCUGAGGCUCGAAAGCGUGGGGAGCAAACAGG
Molecule: ribosomal RNA, 429 nt
Filed under: Gemmatimonadota bacterium
Lineage: Bacteria; Pseudomonadati; Gemmatimonadota
Description: Gemmatimonadetes bacterium partial 16S ribosomal RNA
Rfam family: Bacterial small subunit ribosomal RNA
Source: RNAcentral